RNAcentral lists this ribosomal RNA (253 nucleotides) under bacterium. RNAcentral's name for it is "partial 16S ribosomal RNA". It matches the Rfam family "Bacterial small subunit ribosomal RNA", at positions 524 to 776 of the family's 1533-position model. The record is from RNAcentral. RNAcentral also lists the same sequence under 1 other name.
UACGAAGGUCCCGAGCGUUAUUCGGAAUCACUGGGCGUAAAGGGAGCGUAGGCGGCGUGGAAAGUCAGAUGUGAAAUCCCGGGGCUCAACCCCGGAACUGCAUCCGAUACUACCAUGCUAGAGUAUUGGAGGGGUAACUGGAAUUCUCGGUGUAGCAGUGAAAUGCGUGGAUAUCGAGAGGAACACCUGUGGCGAAAGCGAGUUACUGGACAAUUACUGACGCUGAGGCUCGAAGGCUAGGGGAGCAAAAGGG